Molecule: ribosomal RNA, 253 nt
Filed under: uncultured bacterium
Lineage: Bacteria
Description: partial 16S ribosomal RNA
Rfam family: Bacterial small subunit ribosomal RNA
Source: RNAcentral
UACGGGGGGGGCAAGCGUUGUUCGGAAUUACUGGGCGUAAAGGGCCAGUAGGCGGCCAACUAAGUCCGACGUGAAAUCCCAAGGCUUAACCUUGGAACUGCGUCCGAUACUGGGAGGCUUGAAUCCGGGAGAGGGAUGUGGAAUUCCAGGUGUAGCGGUGAAAUGCGUAGAUAUCUGGAGGAACACCGGUGGCGAAGGCGGCAUCCUGGACCGGUAUUGACGCUGAGGCGCGAAAGCCAGGGGAGCAAACGGG